Molecule: non-coding RNA, 1806 nt
Organism: Rattus norvegicus (Norway rat)
Lineage: Eukaryota; Metazoa; Chordata; Mammalia; Rodentia; Muridae
Source: the annotation of a RefSeq genome assembly
UUCGUCUCUCAGCAUUCACUGAGGUGCUUCUUAUCUAGUUCUCAUUAAAUUACUGUGCCUUCAAACGAUGUUCAGGUGGCUUCAGAAAAGGUUCUGAUGAACAGUGAGGCUGCCAUUCUCAGGAUGAAGUAUGCCUCAUCUGAAUCCUUGAGAGUCAGCAGGAAGAUUGUCUAUCCAAGGGAAGUGAAUCUGUCUGUCAGGAUAGGAGGGUACUACAAAGUAGAAGGAAGAGAGUACCAUUUGCUGAUGCAAGAAAUUGUCAGAGGAAGCCCAAGAGGGAGCUGGAUAUAGUCUGUGUCUGCAAGCCUACGUAUACAGGAUCAGCCCUGACAAGCAUAAAGGGCAAACAGGAAGUGUGAGCUGAAACCAUCUACAAGAACAGGGAGCAUCUAAACAAACCCUUUUACAAGAUCAACAAAAGGCACCCAGAAAGCCAGGACCCAAAGAGAAAAACAUAGAUCCCAUCCUAUGUGGCAUUGCCAUGGGUUACACGCUCUUCAGUUGCCUGGUCCUCUGUCUCCUGGUGGCAGGUCCAGUCGACCCUAAAAUUAUCCAGAAACCAAAAUUUCUGGUGGCAGUCACAGGGAGUGAAAGAAUCUUGAUAUGCGAACAGCAUCUAGGACACAAUGCUAUGUAUUGGUACAGACAAAGUGCUAAGAAGUCCCUAGAGCUCAUGUUUUCCUAUAGCUAUCAAAAACUUAUGGACAACCAGACUAUCCCAAGUCGCUUCCAACCUCACAAUUCAGAGAAAUUGUUAGACCUUCAGAUCACAGCCCUGAAGCCUGAAGAUGUGGCUACAUAGUUCUGUGCCAGUAGCCAAGACACAGCCCUGCAAAGCUCUUGCUUCUCUGUACACAAACCUCCUUUCCAGGAAACUGCUGAUGUAACUGGUCUACCUGUGCCUGGAGACUCAGUUCCGUAGUCCACAGGUCUCAAGUCAAAACCUCAGACCACAAUGCCACCUGCUAAUUAGAUGUCGUACUGCCAAUUCUGGGCCUGUAAGGCAGCAGCGUUGAGUUGACUUGAGUAAAACAUUGUCUACUGUUAAAUAUGGAACUUACAAGCUCAAGUUGAAGUUGUUUCGAGUUUGUAGUCCUGAGAAAUCGUUUACGGACCACUUAACUGUUCUCACCAACCUCUUCAUAUCCUUAUAUGACUUCUCUUUUCAAGAAGAGUCUGUACUUCUGUCCUUAUUGUAGCUCUAAGUAUGCUCACAUUUUUGCUGAGAAAUCCCCCCUCUCCCUAAGUGGCUCUUUGAGUUCCUAUAUCCCAGGAUAAUCUUUCCUUAUUUGAUCUUUACCAUUGAUUAAUUUACUCUCCUUGCUUAUGGUCAGGUUCUCAACUCUUGCUUUUCUUUCCCUUGGAGGCUUCUAACACUUUCAGGCUUGACUCUGUCCUUCCAUCUCUUUAAUCUUCAUGCUGACGCUUUGUACUCCAUAUUGUUAGUUGUGGAGUCUGAUGCCUUUGAGGUGUUGCUAACCACAGUAAUGACAAAGACCCCUCCAGCAUUUCUAAGGAAGACUUAAUUCUUACCACUUCUUUGCUGAUUACUCCUUGCAGCGGCCCUUUGUCUUGUGCACACCAUCAGAUCUAUCUCUGAGUCAGAAUCCUGAACCCUCAGGCGUCUGCUAUAUGCAUGAUAUUAGGUUUCCUUUCUCCCACAGAGGGCAGUCUGCAGGUAGUAGCUGUUGCCACUCACCAAAGCCCUGUCAGACCUGGCCUAUGGAACCGUAGGAACUUAGCAUGCCUUUCCUCUGUUUCUGAUGUGCAGCCACUCAAGCUAGGAGAAACUACAUUUCUGCUGUG